CCGUGAUAAAGUAGCAUAAUCACUCGUCAUUUAAUUGGUGACUGGAAUGAAUGGUUACACGAAUCUUUAACUGUCUCAAGAAGAAAGUUCAAUUAAUUUGAAAAAACAGUGAAGAUGCUGUUAACAAAAUUGUAAGACGAAAAGACCCUUUCGAGCUUUACUAUAAGCUUAUAGAAAAAAUCUUUAAUAAAAAUAUAAUAAAAACAAACUGUAAGCUAGUUAGUUUGGUUGGGGCGACCACCUCUAAAAUAGUAUCAGAGGAAAUCUAAAGGUAUAAUAGUAAUAUUAAUUGCCUUACUGUAUACAAACAAGUUAAUCAGUUACUAUUAUGUAGGAUAUAAUGACCCGUUGAAUUAGUUUCAAAAUUCAACGACCAUGAAAAAAGUUACCGUAGGGAUAACAGGGUAAUAUUAUCAAAGAGUUCAUAUCGAUGAUGAU
Molecule: ribosomal RNA, 438 nt
Filed under: Nemopilema nomurai
Lineage: Eukaryota; Metazoa; Cnidaria; Scyphozoa; Rhizostomeae; Rhizostomatidae
Description: partial 16S ribosomal RNA
Rfam family: Bacterial large subunit ribosomal RNA
Source: RNAcentral